RNAcentral lists this ribosomal RNA (230 nucleotides) under uncultured bacterium. RNAcentral describes it as "partial 16S ribosomal RNA". It matches the Rfam family "Bacterial small subunit ribosomal RNA", at positions 562 to 791 of the family's 1533-position model. The record is from RNAcentral.
AAAGGGUCGCGAGGCGGGUAGGUAAGUCAGUGGUGAAAUCCUGGAGCUCAACUCCAGAACUGCCAUUGAUACUAUCUAUCUUGAAUAUUGUGGAGGUAAGCGGAAUAUGUCAUGUAGCGGUGAAAUGCUUAGAUAUGACAUAGAACACCCAUUGCGAAGGCAGCUUACUACGCAUAUAUUGACGCUGAGGCACGAAAGCGUGGGGAUCAAACAGGAUUAGAUACCCCUGU